UACGGAGGAUGCGAGCGUUAUCCGGAUUUAUUGGGUUUAAAGGGUGCGUAGGCGGUAAGAUAAGUCAGCGAUGAAACGCAAGGGCUCAACCCUUGGCCUGCCGUUGAAACUGUUGUACUAGAAUGCGGAUGCUGUGGGAGGAAUGUGUGGUGUAGCGGUGAAAUGCAUAGAUAUCACACAGAACACCGAUUGCGAAGGCAUCUCACAAAUCCGUGAUUGACGCUGAGGCACGAAAGUGUGGGGAUCAAAC
This 250-nucleotide ribosomal RNA is filed under the name uncultured prokaryote. RNAcentral describes it as "partial 16S ribosomal RNA". It matches the Rfam family "Bacterial small subunit ribosomal RNA", at positions 524 to 773 of the family's 1533-position model. The record is from RNAcentral.